CUCUUUGUUUUGUGUGUUCGGGAAGUGACUGGACGGCCUUCGGAAGCUACCGGCUCGGGUUCUCCACUAUACAAAAUUAUUCAAUGUUUUUGUUUUCUCAUGUUCUGUUUUCCUCUGUAUCGCGUUUUUUUUUCUUUUGCGGUAAUAAUAAUUGUAAUAGAACCAUACUAAUAAUCAAUCAGUAAUAAUUUGAUAAUAAAAUUAGUUAUUUUUUUGCGUUUUCUUCUGCGUUUACUUUCAUUCUAAUAAUAAUUGAUAAUAAUAAUUCAUGUUCCUUCGUCCUUUAUCAAUAAAAUGGCAAAGUUAUUUUUUUUGUAUUUUUUCUUUUAUAAUAUUUUUAACUUGUUUUUCUUAUCUCCUCUGCUAGUUUGUUUACUUUUUUUUAACUAAACAAGUUGUUUUGGCAUUUUAUUCAUUUACUCUUCCUUUUACUCGGCUUCAGUAUUCCUUCUCCGUGCUUUUGUGUUUUUUUCUUCUUUCGUAACGACUUUUCCUUUUUACCUUAAAUAUGUGUUUAAAUAUCUUCCGCCACGAUCUGUUUUUCUUGUUCUUUGUUGCAUCUCGUAGCGUUCAGCUCUUUUCUUCACUUAGUUUUACCGUUUUGUUUCACUUUUCGCUAAUAAGAAUGUAAGUCUCUAAAUCAGCACGGCAACCGCCCUGCCCGAGGCUGAUCCGAGACAUGUUCGUCGUGGUGUUGUUUUGGAUUAUGGUAUGGGUGUGGGAGGUUAUGUGGUGCGCUUCGUCUACAGAGUAGGCGACGAAAAAGAAAUGUUUUUGGGAAAAAACGGACAUCGCUCGAAUCUUGCCGCGGGCAGGGCUUCACCUGCCAAAUGUAGUAUCAAUAUUCCUGUUUUAUCGCAAUUUUUAGUUAAAUUUUUUAUUUAAUUGAUGACAAAAGUUGAUAGAUAUAAUUUGUCUUAAAUAAUAAUUAUUGUAUAUUUAAGUGUGUUUUUCUUGUGUAUAAAGUGUGGUCAAAUAUAGUUGUUUUUUAGUUUUAUUUUUUCUCCUUCUUCAGUACAGAAGUGUUUUUUUUUCUUAUUUGUAUGUGUUCUGUUUGUUUGAAUUAGUUUAAGGUCAAUAUGGGGGACUUUCAUUCGAAAUGAAGCAUUUUUUCUUUUAACUAUUUUGUUAUAUGAUUCCGUUUUGUUUUUUUUUUUGUUUGUUUUUUUCAUAUUUGUGUGUAAUGCUAUUUUUUAUAAUGAUAGUGGCUUAAUGCAUUUCCCUAAAAUUUCUGUUCAUAUUUUUAAGUUUCUUUUCCGUUUUUUUUUCUCUCUCUCUCUAAGGAAAUGUUUCACUUUGUGUUCAAUUUUUAGGAUCUUUUCUGUAUAGUUUAUAUAAUAUGGCUUGCAAUUUGUUUUCACUUGUUUCUCGUCGAUAAUUGAUUAGUACGCUUUUCGUCCGUCCCUCAAAUAUUCCCUUGUAGUUGUGUUUUAUAGUAUUCCGUUGCUAUUGUGUUGAUGUUUUUGAAAUAGUGUGAGUUUUAGCUCACUGGCGAACAGAAAGAGGCGUUUGCUUCGAUGAUGGCUAGCGUACCAUUAGGCUGGAACGAAUGGAUUCUAAUGUUUCGAGUGCACUGAUAUGAAGCAGCUACGAUGGAAGGCUACAAUGUCAGUUGGCUCUUUCUGUACGCUGCGAAUGAGCUGGUUGGUAGGUAUGUUUACGAGUGAGGGCGUGGGAGUGGUGUCUGUGUAAAUGUGUAUCUUUCUGGUGGUGUACGAGUGAUAUACAUUAGGGCAUGCUUGUUUUUUUUUUCUGAUCGAGUACGUAUAAAAUUUUCCUAGAAAUUAAUAUAAUGAAUGUAAGCUGAUUUUCUUUUCUAUUAUUUUACUUUUUAAAAGUUUAUUUUAGAGUUUGCCUGAUAUGACUUCUGAAUAUACUUUUCCUUCCAUUCCACUUCAAUUGUUGGAUGUUGUUCUUAUCGCGUGUGAUGUUCAUAAUUUCAUCAAAUUUCAUUGAAAUUACCUAAUUUCAAGGACUUUUCAUGAAUACUAAGUACUCCUCGUAGGACUUCAAAAUGGAUUUUCUUUCACCAAUACUAGUUCUGCGCUAAAUAAUAGGUCAAUUUAAACUAGUUCCAGUAUUUUUCAUUAAUUUAUAUUUUAUGAUUACUCUAAUACUGUUGUACUUAAAAUUUAGAUCAUAGUUCUUUUUACAUUUGUUUCCUUAGGUUUUUUUCCUUCAAUAUAAAUAAUUUUACUUUUUAUAAAUAUAUACUUUUAUGUACUAUACUCAUUUUCUUCCGCCGUUUUCUUCUUCUUUACUUUACUUAUUUACUUUAUUUUCCAAAUAAAUUCAUAUGUUCUCUUUUACUUCUUUAACUUUAGAGUGUGCUCAAAACUGCAAUUACAUACGCUGGGCUGCGUGGAGAUACAAUCAAAAUUGUUCAACUGAAAAGAGAUAAGAUCAUAGCAGUAGGACAUCAUCGAUCGACUCGGUCUCUCGAACUCGGAGGGAAGGUUGUUCGGGUGAUUGGUGUGGGGGGGGGGGGGGGGUGGUUUGAGUGAAGGUUCAAAAUGAAUAAAGAAGAAAAGGGGGUGGGGCACAAAGAAGCGGUAUUCCGAAGGAACCGACGAGAAUAACUAAGCCGUUUGUUUGGGUUAUGAUUCGUUCGCUUCCAUUCCUUGUUGGUUUUUGCCUUGCGUCUCGUUUUUUUUUAGCAUUGUAAUUAUAUUGAUUUUGUAUGACUUGGCGUGUAUGUUCAAUUGGUUUUAAACAUCAUAUAGCUGCGUGUAUUUUUUUUUCAUAGAAUUAGUACUUUAUCAUGUUUUCUUUGUUUUUGUUUAGAGAAAAUUCUUUGAUUGAAACCAUUGAAAUGGUCGAAUAGAAGGGCAUGUUGCUUGUAUUCGUGCUGUUCUAUCGUGCUGCUGGAUAUUUCGUACAUUGUCAGCAUUUUGUUGGAACGUGUUUUUCCCUUUUUCCUGUCUUUGGCUGUAAUUGCCUUUCCGAUUUUAUUCCCGCUGCGCUAUAAUCUUCAUAUUCUUCUUAAGUCAUGCACAAUCGGCAUUUUUUUUUCUAUGAUGCAUAUACAUGUUUUAAGGCUUCAUUUCAAUUUUUUAAUUAUUUUAUUAUAAUACGAUAUUGUCGCAAUAAUUAAAGUUUUCUUCCAUGUAUGUUUAAAUUACUUUGUUUUCCACCUUUAAGUUAAGUUAUUGUAAGUGAGUGUGAGUGUGUGUAUAUUUUGAAAGUGUUGUGGUGUGAACGGAAGGGGGUUGAUUUUCUACCAGGUUAGAAUUAAAGCAAGUGGCAGAACAAAGGAUGGAGAGCUCCCAGAUUCACUGCAAGGUAUGGUGGCAGAACAAACCACCUGGCAACAGUGGAAAAGAGGACGCCAUUUUGUUUUGGCUUUGUUCAACGUAGUAAUGGUUCAGAAUUCUACUUGUGCGUUGAAAUUUUGAUAUUCGGUUCAGUUUCCUUCGGUUCUUUCGGCGUUCCAAUCAACGCUUUCCAUGGAUGUUGAAGAUUUUCAAAGCCAACUGAGAAACAUUUUUAACUUGACCCUUUUCUGGCGUCAACUUUCCCACUAUCCAGGUAGGUGCAAAACUGCGUCCAACUGGAAAAAAACGACGGUUCGUUUCAAAAAUUUCUCGUUUCAUCUUCAGCCGUGAAAACCAAUGGAAAAAUUUCUCUAAAAAUUUGAUUUAAUUCAGUAGUUGUAUGUUUACUUCUGCUUGUAUUUCUGCCUCAGAUUUACCUCUUUCUUAUACUAAAUAUAUAUGAAGCGUUAAAUAUCGCAUAAUUUACAAUUGUUAUCAUCUCCUCAAUAGUGCUUUACCUUACUGCGGUUGAUUUCCCACCACUUCGGUUCUUUUAUUUUGUUAGUUUUUCUCUCAAAUACUUGUAUAUAUCUAGUAUAUUCUUCAUAAUGCAAAGUGACUGGCAACACUUUUACUUGUUUUUUUUGGUUUCCCUCUAGGUUGGUUUUGUUCAAUAAUUUUAAUACUAAACUUUUUUUGAUAGCUCUAAAAUCGGUAAUAGGUAAAAAUGCGAAAAAAUCGUGCAUAUUUAACGUGUUUUGCCUUUACUUUGUAAUAAUCGGUUUCCAAGGAGAAGAAGUAUGAUCCAAUGAAACGAUGAGGGUGGGAGAUAGGUUGAGGUCAGUGCUUUUUCCAUUUUUUUUUUUCGUUAAUGGUAUAGUUUGAAAUGGGUAGGUCGAACAGAACGAUACCGAAUGUUGGGGACAUUGGAAAAGUUGAAAUGUUUUUUUUUUGUUUUUAAUUAGAGAAGAGAUUUAAUAAUAUGGAUGUGUUUUGUUCUGUAUGCUGCUUUAGUCAGUAUGAUAAUUUUCCGUUAUUUUAUUAAAUUCUUCAAUCGUUAUUGUUUACACUUUUUGUUUUUCUCUUCCUUUCGAAUGUGGUUAUUAGUUAUCAAUUUGUUUAUAGUUGUUUAUCUUAUUUCCUCAUCUCUCAUAUCACAAAACAGAAUAUUCUCCUCUUAAGUACCUUCGCUUUGUCAAACAAUGUUUUUUUUUUCUUGCAAAAAGGAAAAAUGGCUGCUUGGUAUCGUCAAUAAUUUUUUUUUCAUCUAAAUUGUUUUUCAUAUUUUUUUUUCUUUUCAAUAAUAAUAGUUUCGUCAAUCAACAUGUUUUUCUCUAUAAUUGCAAGAAAUACCCUGUAUCCUAUAGUUUAUACAAUGUUUCAUGAAAUAUUUUUCUUGCUUCUCCGCACCAGCAUCCUACAUGCUACAUGUUAGUUUAAUAGGUUGGUUUAGUUUAAUCAUCGCGUCAAAUACUUACUUCCUACUAAGUAUAUGCGUGUGUUGUGUGAAUAAUGUUGCCAAUUCUGAUAAAAAUAAACAACAUCACAAUUGAUAAGCGCGGCAUGUUUUGGGUGCUGCGGUUGCCAAAAAAACCUGAUUUUCAUCUGAAAUGGCAAUACCUUCACGGUGGUUUCAAUCGUGAACUGCAAACUUCGUCUCGCUCAGCUUGCACGUGUAAGCGCAGCACUUUUACUUGUUUUCCGUUGGAUGAAUGUGUGAAUCUGUGUGUCUUUGUUUGAUAAAUAAUAGCAAAGUAAAACUAAUGCAUAAAACGUGUUUAUUUAUUUUGUGUGGGUUGUGAGUAGGUGAAAGCAUUCACGGAAAACCGACAGUGAAAAUUUUUUGACAAAUGGCAAAGAGUGUGCGAGUAGUAGCUUAGCAGUAACAUUUGUGCUUAAGAGGUAAACUACAAAAGAGAGGGUUUGUUUUUGUUCGCUUCGUUAUGAAUUCAGUGGGCGAUGGGUGUGCUCAGAAAGUGCAUGUAGACGUGCUGCGAAGGGCCUAAAAGUAUACAUUAGUUUUUUUGUUUUAUUUUUUUUUUUUUUUUUUUACUCCUAACAAAACUAGCGGUUAAGUGAUAGUGAAGCGAUGGCUGAGUUUUGUUUAGAGGAUAGUUUCUAGCAUUCGAUAGAGGCUUCCGUCAAUCGGAGCGAUUUGAUAGAUUCAACGCAAACUUAGCUUUCGAGUUCAGCUUGAGCUUAAGUAGAUAGUAGGAAAUGAAGAGAAAAAGUUCAGAACAGAAGAUUGUUUUGCUAGCUAGAAGAUGGUUCACUAAUCUAUGGAUGGAUGGCUGGUUGUUUGGAUCACUAGGAUUGAUUCACAUUUGAUGUCGACGGGGCGAUUGCUUCCGAAUGGUGCUGAAGUGUUUCGAGGGCUUUUAUUGUAUUAUAAACGUCUCUGCGCAUAAAACCAAAGGUUGCCAAAUGACAGAAUCUUGCUUACUCUAAAGCCCUUUAGUAGAAGUAUGAUAGACUGUCACCAGGAAACUGAUAUGUUCCAAUUGAACAAAGCAGUACAUUUUGACCGAUCAAUUUCAACGGAUUUUGAUAGACUUUUACUGGUCCGGAGAAGGUUCCUUUUUGGAUAUUACCAGAACAACAUGUGAAAAGGGCAUAUGUGCCAGAUGUGUUGAUAUAUAACCGACGAUUCCUCACGGAUGAGGAUUCAUUCAGGCAAUCCAAAAGCAGAAUCUGAUAAAGGAAGAUUGGCUCAUAUGAGUUUUUCACAUGCUAUUCUAGAAUUAGGCCUAUAUUAUUGAUUUCUAGUCACGGAAACUUGAUGGCAAUGCAUGGCAUCGAAUCCUACCGGUAACGCGUGCUGCGUUAUUCGCUGGUGGCAUCCCAAAUAACAUUAUUGGAUUAGAAUAGAUGUUUAAAACUUACAAUAGUCUAGCAGUUUUACUAGGGAUGUGAUUCUUUGAUACUCUGGUGCCGAAACAUCUUCGGGUUCUGAGAGAUUUUCCAGCUGCUCUGAGCUUUAUGUAGAAAAGUACGAUUAUUUGUGGAUAAUUUUACACCAAAAGCUUCGUUCGUCUUCAACGGUGCCUCGUCGGACAUGAUCAGUUAGCAAACCACAAGUAAUCAUCACUCUACGAUCACUUAAUAUAUGAUUCAAAACUGCUCAUCACAUGUCCGCUAGAAACAAUCUUAAGAACUUGGACUUUUAUGAGAAUCUGUAUUUUGUCAAUGUUGAUCAUCACAACAAGUAUUGGUGCUGGAACUAGUAGAGAAGUUGCCAGGAACCAUGAGCAUGGAUCGGUCUACAUUGAAGAGUCAGCGACUUUGCGUAAAAGUUCUCGGGGAUUUCCUGGAAUUUAAACCCAGGCAACAGUUUUCGUUUUCUAAGGUUUUAUAGGUAGAUCAUUAUUUAGGAUUGCAGAAUGCUUCAAAACCACCAUUAAAUUUGAAAUGUUGCUUAGGUACUGAAGCAAGUUUUGGACAUCCAGGGUAUUUGAAAGUUUCGAGAGUCAAAUUGGUCAACGCGGUUCAUUCCCCUAAACGUAGUCAUCAUUCAAAAUCGAUCAACUCGCAACUUGCUGUCAUUUCGCUGUCCAAAGUUCUUAGUGGUUUUGCUUGUUUUCGGUAGCUGUAUCUGGAGAUAUUAGGUUGGUAGGUUCGGCUGCUUCAUCUCGCCCUGCGAUGUCAGGGAGAUAUAUUUGCAAAUCAAGCUCAAAGCUACGGUCUGAAGAGUGUAGGUGUAUGUAUUCUGCAACAUCAAGUCUUGCGGAGCUAAGUCAUGGAUAUUACUAUCUUUAGUAACACUUUUGUUGUAAAACAGUUAUUAUCAAGUCGCUGCAACUUUUCUUGACAGAAUUGUUCUCUUUGCGAUAUUAGGCUCCUACUUUAGCACAGUAUGUGAAGAACUUGUAUAGGACCAUCACUACGCGGAAAACUACUUAGAAAACUUCAUGUCGAUUUACGAAACUGUGGAUGCGGUUAAUGAACUAAAGCUCGUCCAUUCCAACCCAGGCAGAAGAAAAUAACUUAUGACUAUCUAAUUCUGACCUGAUACCAACCUUUGGUGUUGAUCAGCUUGACAUAAGAGGUAAAAUACCGAAGAAUAAUACCAAAAAAUUUCAUGCAAAUUACUUUGAAAGUCACAAACAUUGAUAUUUGGAUACCAAAAGAAUACUUGUGUGGUAUUGUUUUGGUAUUUCAUUUGCGUAAUUUGCUAUUGGAAUGGUAUUGUGGGACAUUUUUUAGUAUUUAACCUCACGUCACGCUAAUCCACACCAAUUUAAGGUAUCGAGAUAUUCGUUCCUGCUCGGGAAGGGUGGAUUCAAAACACGAAAUUUUCUAUUCAACGGAGAAGAAAUGUUGAAUCGGAGAAGCAGAACCAGCAAUCUCGAAGGAUUUCGCUCUUAUACACGUGGGAAAACAACUGAAUAUGUGCUCGGUUUGAAAUAUGUGUGGAAUUUGUGUCGUAUUUCCUUGUAAACCAGAAGUACUUAAGGGCAACAAGAGUCGAACGUAGAACUGUAAACUCAUUGGCAAUUUUGGACGCAUUACUUUCCUCAGUAGAAUACACUGUAAAAAUAUGAAUGGAAACGUCACUCAAGUCACAGCCAUUUUCAUAGAACUUCGCGUUCAGAUAGAGUUCCACGUGUUCGUCAACAGUAACGAUUCUGCUUACGUUUGCGUAGCAUACUGUUGAUUUAAAAAAUUAUUCGGAAUGCAGGUGCCACCCAUCAGUGUUUAGAUAAACGUCCCCGUAGUCUACGCUCUGUUAACUAAACGUCUUGAAUUAAAGGCUGCAAGCGUGGGAAUCCAAAUUUUCGAGUCCAUACAUAAAUUACACAAGUUGGAGAGUUCUCUAAAGUAACAACUCUGUCCUGGUCAAACCAUCCUCGUUACUACUUGCACAUCGGAGAGAUUCUGACGGCAACUGACGCACGCGAGUGACGAUGAGUUUCCUCCGAAAUUAACCCGUUGACAUUGCCAACAAAUGGACAGAUGGAUUAAACUUUCUACCACUAAUCCAUAGUUUUGCGGUCCUGAGUUGCAUGCAAAUGCAUGAAAUAUCGAUCUGCUUCGUCGGUUGAUGGAAACUUGGGUCACCUUCAAAUGAGAGACGUUUGAAAUCACUCAAUUGAAUUGAAUGGAACUCUGGUUGACAUUCUGACGAAAAACCUGAAUUGGGUUCUUUAAUUUUGAAAAAUAUAUCGGUUUUUAUAUAUCAUCUGAAAGAGCUUCGUUUUCUGAGCACAGCGAUAUUUUUUUACGAACCCACAAACUUUCAUCUCGAUUUUUAAAUCAAGAUUUAAAGCAAAAUAACAACUUCACUGUUUGACACUAAACUGACAAACUGACAGCUCGCUCCCAUACAAAGUGACACCGAGGGGCGCUAAUGAGGUGAUUUUUGCAAAUGUAAUCGUUCUUAUUUAAAAUAGUUCCAGUGUACCAAAAUUGAUGAAAUUUUGGGUUUGGGUUCCAUUUUUAAUGCAGAUUACGAAUAUGCAUUUACCUCAAUACCCUUAAAGAACCCAAUUAAUCUGGAAUCAACUAGACUUCCAACAGACAUCAACCCAUCAUUGACUUUGGUCCGAUAUUGACUCAAUAUUGAGUCAUUCAUUAUCCGAUUAGGAUGUCUAUUCUGAAGCAUUUUCUGGUUUUAUCACUGCCAUACAUCAAUUAUGUUCAAUAUGGGUAUUGAGGUGAAUGCAUAUUCGUU
Long non-coding RNA from Ochlerotatus camptorhynchus, 8925 nucleotides. RefSeq lists it as uncharacterized. The transcript has 3 exons. NCBI's taxonomy places the organism in Eukaryota, Metazoa, Arthropoda, Insecta, Diptera, Culicidae. The record is from RefSeq and is a predicted model, not a curated record.